RNAcentral lists this ribosomal RNA (1234 nucleotides) under metagenome. RNAcentral's name for it is "bacterial LSU rRNA". It matches the Rfam family "Bacterial large subunit ribosomal RNA", at positions 1564 to 2808 of the family's 2925-position model. The record is from RNAcentral.
UGAAUACGAGAUGCUACGGCGUCGAAGCAGUCUAUGUCAUACUUCCAAGAAAAGCUUGCACUGUCAUAAACAAAUAAUGCCUGUACCAUAACCGACACAGGUGGGUAGGUAGAGUAUACUAAGGGGCGCGAGAUAACUCUCUCUAAGGAACUCGGCAAAAUGACUCCGUAACUUCGGGAGAAGGAGUGCCUUAUUUAUAAGGUUGCAAUAACAAGAUCCAAGCAACUGUUUACCAAAAACACAGGUCUCCGCUAAGUCGUAAGACGAUGUAUGGGGGCUGACGCCUGCCCAGUGCCAGAAGGUUAAAGAAGUUGGUUAGCAUCCGCGAAGCUGAUAACUGAAGCCCUGGUGAACGGCGGCCGUAACAAUAACGGUCCUAAGGUAGCGAAAUUCCUUGUCGGGUAAGUUCCGACCCGCACGAAAGGCGUAAUGAUUUGGAUACUGUCUCGGAGAGGGGCUCGGUGAAAUAGACUUGUCUGUGAAGAUGCGGACUACCUGCACCAGGACAGAAAGACCCUAUGAAGCUUUACUGUAACCUGAAAUUGAAAUUGGACUUUACUUGCGCAGUAUAGGUGGGAGGCGUUGAGAAUAUUCUUGCGGGAUUAUUGGAGCCAUCAGUGAGAUACCACUCUUGUAAUGUUAGAUUUCUAACUUUGUAUCAUUAUCUGGUCAAAGAACAGUUUCAGGCGGGCAGUUUGACUGGGGCGGUCGCCUCCUAAACGGUAACGGAGGCGCACAAAGGUUUCCUCUGAACGGGUAGAAAUCGUAUCUAGAGUGUAAAGGCAUAAGGAAGCUUGACUGAGAGACCUACAAGUCGAGCAGGGACGAAAGUCGGUCUUAGUGAUCUGACGGUGCUGAGUGGAAAGGCCGUCACUCAACGGAUAAAAGUUACUCUAGGAUAACAGGCUGAUCUCCCCCAAGAGUUCACAUCGACGGGGAGGUUUGGCACCUCGAUGUCGGCUCAUCGCAUCCUGGGGCGGUAGUACGUCCCAAGGGUUGGGCUGUUCGCCCAUGAAAGCGGUACGCGAGCUGGGUUCAGAACGUCGUGAGACAGUUCGGUCCAUAUCCGGUGUAGGCGUUAGAAUAUUGAGAGGAGCCUUCUUUAGUACGAGAGGACCGAGAAGGACAUACCUCUGGUGUACCAGUUAUCGCGCCAACGGUAAACGCUGGGUAGCUAUGUGUGGAGUGGAUAACCGCUGAAAGCAUCUAAGUGGGAAGCCCACCUCAAGAUAAG